Long non-coding RNA from Bactrocera oleae (olive fruit fly), 326 nucleotides. RefSeq lists it as uncharacterized. Lineage: Eukaryota; Metazoa; Arthropoda; Insecta; Diptera; Tephritidae. The record is from RefSeq and is a predicted model, not a curated record.
AUUUUAUAGGAGUAAAAAAAAAUUUGAAAACUUGAAAAUUUGAAACUUUAAAAAAAUAUUUUGGCAAAUAUGAUUUUUUUCGAAAAAUUUGAAAAUAUAAGAAAAUAAAAAUGUAUCAAAAGCGUAAAUCAUAGGAAAACCACCACCACCAAGAUGACAAUCGCGAUAUAGUAUUCGUGUGCAUACUAUGAUUCAAUGCGAGCAGAGCUGCGGGAUAAGCUAGUGACAUAUAUUUAUUAAUUUUACGGAACGUAAUAAAUAGGGCCGUUUUUAUAAGUGGCAACGUUGUAUGCAGAUGUAAACAAAUAAAUUUAACAAAACAUAAA